CCUACGGGUGGCAGCAGUGGGGAAUAUUGCACAAUGGGUGACACCCUGAUGCCGCGACGCCGCGUUAGCGAAGAAGUCUUUCGGUAUGUAAAGCUCUAUCAGCAGGGGAGAAAGUAACGUUACCUGCGUAAUCCUCUACUGCUUAAUACGUGCCAGCAGCCGCGGUCAUACGUAUGGCGCAGGCGUUCUCCGGAUUUACUGGGCGUAAAGGUAGCGUAGGCGGCCUGCCAAGUCUGAUGUGAAUUACCGGGGCUCAACCCUGGGGCUGCAUUGGAGCCUGGCAGGCUGGAGUGACGGAGAGGCAGGUGGAAGUCCGAGUGUAGCGGUGAAAUGCGUAGAGAUUAGGAGGAACACCAGUGGCGAAGGCGGCCUGCUGGACGGUGACUGACGCUGAGGCUCGAAAGCGUGGGGAGCAAACAGGAUUAGAUACCCUUGUAGUC
RNAcentral lists this ribosomal RNA (440 nucleotides) under uncultured bacterium. RNAcentral describes it as "partial 16S ribosomal RNA". It matches the Rfam family "Bacterial small subunit ribosomal RNA", at positions 338 to 795 of the family's 1533-position model. The record is from RNAcentral.